AGGCGUGGUUCUGUGUUGUUUUUAUUUUUAGUAGCACACACGGUUGUGGUGCUGUGGCCGUCAAAUUUUGGUCAUGUGAUGCGCUCCUCGGUGAAACAUUAUGCUUGUUUUACCAUAGCAUCGACGGUCUAACCGACGUUACUAUGCACUUCAUAUGCACUUCUAGUUGGGUCAAUCUCAAGCGUUGUUGUUGCGUUGUUUUGUUGUCAUGGAUAGUUCUAGGCUGGGUUUGGCUAGGGCUCGGGAGCUUGCGGCUGUGCCUGCUCGUGAGCGUGGGUCGUGGUGGUGGUCGUGUGCGUGGUAGCCGUGGGCGUGGUCGUACAUGUUUUGAGGUUCCGUGGCCUGUUGAUGCGAUUGACGAUGCUGGUGUCCGUGGUCGGGGCUUGAAUGUAAUUUUGUUAUGCUAACCAUGUUAUUAGGUUUUUCAUGUAUUAUUAUCCUGCUAAAUGCUAUUCCACUUGGAACGCAAGAAUUAUGCAAUGUAAAAUGGAAGAUUCACAGGUAGCUAACCUGUGUAAAAAUGAAAUGUCUUCCACGUGUAAAAAAAAAAAAAAAAUGGAGUCCUGGAGGCUCCCUGACCAGGGAGACAAAGGGAAUAGCUUUCCACGUCUUAGCGGAGCAGUGUUCCUUUCACUUGACGUGACAUCUGGUGACUAAUCACAUCGAAUGACAUACACGUGUCUUGAUAUUCAGUAUAAAUUCAGAUGCAUCCCGUGUGGCCUCCAGACAUAGCACAAUCUCUCCUCUUUUCCAUUUCGAGCUCUAGUUCAAUAUACUGCAACAUUUGUUAGUAACUUCAUCGUUGCUUUAUCAUGAGCCGAUGUUUAUCGAGCCAAUGCUGUUCACCGGCGACGACUUCUAAGAAAGCUGGUCGGUCUGAAGCUUCCGGUAUUUCAUCAUCAUCUAGCAGUUUAUCAUAUGACUGCGCUUAUAUGCCCUCGGAACCUUUCGCCCGAUUCUCUCUUUCGGUC
This 971-nucleotide long non-coding RNA is filed under the name Brachypodium distachyon (stiff brome). RNAcentral describes it as "long non-coding RNA (BDIS_LNC004420)". Lineage: Eukaryota; Viridiplantae; Streptophyta; Magnoliopsida; Poales; Poaceae. The record is from RNAcentral.